This 433-nucleotide ribosomal RNA is filed under the name uncultured bacterium. Its description in RNAcentral is "partial 16S ribosomal RNA". It matches the Rfam family "Bacterial small subunit ribosomal RNA", at positions 29 to 507 of the family's 1533-position model. The record is from RNAcentral.
AACGAACGCUGGCGGCAUGCCUAACACAUGCAAGUCGAACGAGACCUUCGGGUCUAGUGGCGCACGGGUGCGUAACGCGUGGGAACCUGCCCUUAGGUUCGGAAUAACUCCCCGAAAGGGGUGCUAAUACCGGAUAAUGUCUUCGGACCAAAGAUUUAUCGCCUUUGGAUGGGCCCGCGUUGGAUUAGCUAGUUGGUAGGGUAAAAGCCUACCAAGGCGACGAUCCAUAGCUGGUCUGAGAGGAUGAUCAGCCACACUGGGACUGAGACACGGCCCAGACUCCUACGGGAGGCAGCAGUGGGGAAUAUUGGACAAUGGGCGAAAGCCUGAUCCAGCAAUGCCGCGUGAGCGAUGAAGGCCUUAGGGUUGUAAAGCUCUUUUACCCGGGAUGAUAAUGACAGUACCGGGAGAAUAAGCGCCGGCUAACUCCGUG